RNAcentral lists this ribosomal RNA (253 nucleotides) under uncultured bacterium. Its description in RNAcentral is "partial 16S ribosomal RNA". It matches the Rfam family "Bacterial small subunit ribosomal RNA", at positions 524 to 776 of the family's 1533-position model. The record is from RNAcentral.
UACGUAGGGGGCAAGCGUUAUCCGGAAUUACUGGGUGUAAAGGGAGAGUAGGCGGCAAGGUAAGCGAUAUGUGAAAGCCUUAGGCUUAACCUGAGGAUUGUAUAACGAACUAUCUAGCUAGAGUACAGGAGAGGAAAGCGGAAUUCCUAGUGUAGCGGUGAAAUGCGUAGAUAUUAGGAAGAACACCAGUGGCGAAGGCGGCUUUCUGGACUGAAACUGACGCUGAGGCUCGAAAGCGUGGGGAGCGAACAGG